RNAcentral lists this ribosomal RNA (564 nucleotides) under Cyclocheilichthys heteronema. Its description in RNAcentral is "partial 16S ribosomal RNA". It matches the Rfam family "Bacterial large subunit ribosomal RNA", at positions 1844 to 2603 of the family's 2925-position model. Lineage: Eukaryota; Metazoa; Chordata; Actinopteri; Cypriniformes; Cyprinidae. The record is from RNAcentral.
UAUAGGAGGUCCAGCCUGCCCAGUGACUACUAGUUUAACGGCCGCGGUAUUCUGACCGUGCAAAGGUAGCGCAAUCACUUGUCUUUUAAAUAGAGACCUGUAUGAAUGGCCAAACGAGGGCUUAACUGUCUCCCUUUUCCAGUCAGUGAAAUUGAUUUACCCGUGCAGAAGCGGGUAUGACAAUACAAGACGAGAAGACCCUUUGGAGCUUAAGGUACAAAACUCAACCAUAUUAAAACAACUCAACAAAAAGCAAAAACCUCAUGGAAAUUGAAAUUUUACCUUCGGUUGGGGCGACCACGGAGGAGAAAAAAGCCUCCAAGUGGACCGGGACAAACCUCCUAAAACCAAGAGAGACAUCUCCAAGCCACAGAACAUCUGACCAAACAUGAUCCGGCUAACAAAACCGAUCAACGAACCAAGUUACCCUAGGGAUAACAGCGCAAUCCUCUCCCAGAGUCCAUAUCGACGAGAGGGUUUACGACCUCGAUGUUGGAUCAGGACAUCCUAAUGGUGCAGCCGCUAUUAAGGGUUCGUUUGUUCAACGAUUAAAGUCCUACGUGA